CGACAAUGCACAGUUGUUGGGCCAUGAACACGCCUACAAAACAAACCAAAGAGGAUUUUCGAUACCCAGAUGACCAAGACGUUGCUACUUCUGUUGGUGAUGCUGACGACGCUCACGUUGGGUGUUGCUGGAAUGGAUGCAAUAAUUCGUCGCGAGAUGAUGAUGCUACUACAUCAGUGGCGUGAAAACUUCACCCCCGCCGGCCAUUUCUUGACCGCACGUGGUGACACUGACAUGAUGGUGGAGACGUCAACAGAGCUUUGGACGACUUUUAGAUGUGAACUCUGUGAGUGUCAUCUGUAUUCUAUUCAAACAACAUUCUGAUAAAAGUCUCUGACAAUUAAACGAUUUUGCACCAAG
Molecule: long non-coding RNA, 360 nt
Organism: Gigantopelta aegis
Lineage: Eukaryota; Metazoa; Mollusca; Gastropoda; Neomphalida; Peltospiridae
Exons: 3
Source: RefSeq, a predicted model, not a curated record